GUAGGUGGCAAGCGUUGUCCGGAGUUAUUGGGCGUAAAGCGCGCGCAGGCGGUUCUUUAAGUCUGAUGUGGGAAGCCCACGGGCUCAACCGUGGAGGGUCAUUGGAAACUGGAGAACUUGAGUACAGAAGAGGAAAGCGGAAUUCCACGUGUAGCGGUGAAAUGCGUAGAGAUGUGGAGGAACACCAGUGGCGAAGGCGGCUUUCUGGUCUGUAACUGACGCUGAGGCGCGAAAGCGUGGGGAGCAAACAGGAUUAGAUACCCUGGUAGUCCACGCCGUAAACGAUGAGUGCUAAGUGUUAGGGGGUUUCCGCCCCUUAGUGCUGCAGCUAACGCAUUAAGCACUCCGCCUGGGGAGUACGGCCGCAAAGGCUG
RNAcentral lists this ribosomal RNA (374 nucleotides) under uncultured organism. RNAcentral's name for it is "partial 16S ribosomal RNA". It matches the Rfam family "Bacterial small subunit ribosomal RNA", at positions 527 to 896 of the family's 1533-position model. The record is from RNAcentral.